GAUGAACGCUGGCGGCGUGCCUAAUACAUGCAAGUCGAGCGAACGGACGAGAAGCUUGCUUCUCUGAUGUUAGCGGCGGACGGGUGAGUAACACGUGGAUAACCUACCUAUAAGACUGGGAUAACUUCGGGAAACCGGAGCUAAUACCGGAUAAUAUUUUGAACCGCAUGGUUCAAAAGUGAAAGACGGUCUUGCUGUCACUUAUAGAUGGAUCCGCGCUGCAUUAGCUAGUUGGUAAGGUAGCGGCUUACCAAGGCAACGAUGCAUAGCCGACCUGAGAGGGUGAUCGGCCCCACUGGAACUGAGACACGGUCCAGACUCCUACGGGAGGCAGCAGUAGGGAAUCUUCCGCAAUGGGCGAAAGCCUGACGGAGCAACGCCGCGUGAGUGAUGAAGGUCUUCGGAUCGUAAAACUCUGUUAUUAGGGAAGAACAUAUGUGUAAGUAACUGUGCACAUCUUGACGGUACCUAAUCAGAAAGCCACGGCUAACUACGUG
RNAcentral lists this ribosomal RNA (497 nucleotides) under uncultured bacterium. RNAcentral describes it as "partial 16S ribosomal RNA". It matches the Rfam family "Bacterial small subunit ribosomal RNA", at positions 28 to 507 of the family's 1533-position model. The record is from RNAcentral.